RNAcentral lists this ribosomal RNA (253 nucleotides) under uncultured bacterium. RNAcentral's name for it is "partial 16S ribosomal RNA". It matches the Rfam family "Bacterial small subunit ribosomal RNA", at positions 524 to 776 of the family's 1533-position model. The record is from RNAcentral.
UACGGGGGGGGCAAGCGUUGUUCGGAAUUACUGGGCGUAAAGGGCUCGUAGGCGGCCAACUAAGUCGGAUGUGAAAUCCCCAGGCUUAACCUGGGAACUGCAUCUGAUACUGGAUGGCUUGAAUCCGGGAGAGGGAUGCAGAAUUCCAGGUGUAGCGGUGAAAUGCGUAGAUAUCUGGAGGAAUACCGGUGGCGAAGGCGGCAUCCUGGACCAACACUGACACUGAGGAGCGAAAGCCAGGGGAGCAAACGGG